RNAcentral lists this ribosomal RNA (2231 nucleotides) under human gut metagenome. RNAcentral describes it as "bacterial LSU rRNA". It matches the Rfam family "Bacterial large subunit ribosomal RNA", at positions 57 to 2302 of the family's 2925-position model. The record is from RNAcentral.
CGCGGUAAGCUGCGAAAAGCCACGGGGAACUGCAAGCAAGUAUUGAUCCGUGGAUAUCCGAAUGGGGAAACCCGGCCAUCGUCAUGGAUGGUCACCCGCAAGGGAGGGAACCUGGGGAACUGAAACAUCUAAGUACCCGGAGGAAGAGAAAUCAAACGAGAUGCCCACAGUAGCGGCGAGCGAAGAGGGCAGAGCCCAAACCGAGAAGCUCCGGCUUUUCGGGGUUGAGGACCGGCAGAAUCGAAGUCAGGCCUAGUUGAAUUACCUGGAAAGGUAAGCGAGAGAGGGUAAAAGCCCCGUAGACGAAAGGCAGAGCAGAGAGGCCGAGAUCCAGAGUACCACGAAGCACGAGGAAUUUUGUGGGAAGCAGGGGGGACCACCCUCCAAGGCUAAAAACUACUUGGCGACCGAUAGCGCAUAGUACCGUGAGGGAAAGGUGAAAAGAACCCCGGGAGGGGAGUGAAAUAGUACCUGAAACCGUAUGUCUACAAGCAGUCGAAGCGAAAGCGACGGCGUGCCUAUUGAAGAAUGAACCAACGAGUUAUCUGCACUAGCGAGGUUAAGUGGAAGACACGGAGCCGCAGCGAAAGCGAGUCUUAAGAGGGCGCUAGUUAGUGUAGGUAGACCCGAAACCGCAGUGAUCUACCCAUGUCCAGGUUGAAGCGCAGGUAAAAUUGCGUGGAGGACCGAACCGGUGAGCGUUGAAAAGCUUUCGGAUGAGAUGUGGGUAGGGGUGAAAUUCCAAUCGAACGCGGAGAUAGCUGGUUCUCCCCGAAAUAGCUUUAGGGCUAGCCUGAGGUAGUAAGUAUAGGCGGUAGAGCACUGAUCGGGCUAGGGGCCGUAAAGGUUACCGAACCCUGUCAAACUCCGAAUGGAUAUACUGUAGAGCCUUGGAGUCAGACUACGAGUGAUAAGAUCCGUGGUCAAAAGGGAAACAGCCCAGACCACCAGCUAAGGUCCCCAAUGUCGUACUAAGUGGAAAAGGAUGUGGGGUUUCAUAAACAACCAGGAUGUUGGCUCAGAAGCAGCCACCAUUUAAAGAGUGCGUAAUAGCUCACUGGUCGAGAGACCCUGCGCCGAAGAUUCCCGGGGCUAAAGUACGAAACCGAAGCUGUGGCUGUAUACGUAAAGUAUACGGGGUAGGGGAGCGUUCCCAUAGGGUAGAAGUCGAACUGGAAGGUUCGGUGGACUUGUGGGAAGUGAGAAUGUUGGUAUGAGUAGCGAAAAGAAAGGUGAGAAUCCUUUCCACCGAAAGCAUAAGGAUUCCUGAGCAACGAUCGUCGUCUCAGGGUAAGUCGGGACCUAAUCCGAGGCAGAGAGCGUAGGAGAUGGACAACUGGUUGAUAUUCCAGUACCGGUAGUAAUUGUUUGAGCAAUGGAGUGACACAGAAGGGCAGGCAAGCAUGCGAAUGGAAGAGCAUGUGUAAGCGUGUAGGGUGGUGCAUAGGCAAAUCCGUGCACUGAAAGCCUGAGGCGUGAUGCGGAGUGAGCAGAGAUGCGAGCGAAGUUGUUGACCCCACACUGUCGAGAAAAGCUUCUAGUGAGAGAGCUACCGCCCGUACCGUAAACCGACACAGGUAUGCGGGGAGAGAAUCCUAAGGUGCGCGGGAGAACCCUCGUUAAGGAACUCGGCAAAAUGUACCCGUAACUUCGGGAUAAGGGUAGCCACUGUUGUGAAGUCCCAUGCGGAUGGAGCAUAGAGUGGUCGCAGAGAAGAGGCCCAAGCGACUGUUUACCAUAAACACAGGUGCCUGCUAAAGCGAAAGCUGACGUAUAGGUGCUGACACCUGCCCAGUGCCGGAAGGUUAAGGAAGGAUGUUCGGAUUAGUCCAAAGCAUUCGACUGAAGCCCCGGUGAACGGCGGCCGUAACUAUAACGGUCCUAAGGUAGCGAAAUUCCUUGUCGGGUAAGUUCCGACCCGCACGAAAGGUGUAACGAUUUGGGCACUGUCUCAACGAGGGACCCGGUGAAAUUGAAAUACCUGUGAAGAUGCAGGUUACCCGCGACUGGACAGAAAGACCCCAUGGAGCUUUACUGUAACCUGACAUUGGGUUUUGAUACAUUACGUACAGGAUAGGUGGGAGGCUUGGAAAGUUGGACGCUAGUCUGACUGGAGCCGACGUUGGGAUACCACCCUUGAUGUAUUGAAAUUCUAACCGCGAGAGUAACGAAAUCCGGGACAGUGUCAGGCGGGCAGUUUGACUGGGGCGGUCGCCUCCGAAAGAGUAACG